AUGAGGUGGGGCGUGCCAGCCCCUUUUGGGCUGGUGUGCUCUCCCUCAUUGCCCCUUUUGGCCCAAGCCCCGUGGCUUCCCAGAACUCCUUCAGGUGAUCCAAUAAUUAUCCAGUGCAUUCCGAAACUCUUCUGGAGACCAAAUACUAUCAUCGUAUAUAUCAAUCUUUACCUCCAGACCAUUCCAGAGCUCCUCGUCAUGUCCGUGAUCUCAUUUGGGACUCUGAACAACAUUCGCUCACCAACAUACAUAACUCAUUUAGUAUUAUAUCGUCAACGAACGUUAAGCAUGCGAACCCUACGGAUUCGAGAAUGA
Molecule: ribosomal RNA, 315 nt
Filed under: Triticum aestivum (bread wheat)
Lineage: Eukaryota; Viridiplantae; Streptophyta; Magnoliopsida; Poales; Poaceae
Description: partial small subunit ribosomal RNA
Source: RNAcentral